RNAcentral lists this unclassified non-coding RNA (391 nucleotides) under soil metagenome. Its description in RNAcentral is "partial contains 5.8S ribosomal RNA, internal transcribed spacer 2, and large subunit ribosomal RNA". The stretch from base 1 to 122 matches the Rfam family "5.8S ribosomal RNA", at positions 35 to 154 of the family's 154-position model. The record is from RNAcentral.
GAUGAAGAACGUAGUGAAAUGCGAUACUUGGUGUGAAUUGCAGAAUCCCGUGAACCAUCGAGUCUUUGAACGCAAGUUGCGCCCGAAGCCAUUAGGCCGAGGGCACGCCUGCCUGGGCGUCACACGUCGUUGCCCCCCAAUCUACUCCUUCGGGAUUGCGGGGGGCGGAUGAUGGCCUCCCGUGCGCCUCGCCGCGCGGUUGGCAUAAAUGCCAAGUCCUCGGCGACGCACGCCACGACAAUCGGUGGUUGCGAAACCUCGGUUGCCCGUCGUGUGCGGUCGUCGCGCAUCGAGGGCUCGAAAAAAUUGCCGGGUUCCGGCUCGGCUUUCAACGCGACCCCAGGUCAGGCGGGGUUACCCGCUGAAUUUAAGCAUAUCAAUAAGCGGAGGA